RNAcentral lists this small RNA (511 nucleotides) under Histoplasma capsulatum. RNAcentral describes it as "hypothetical RNA". The record is from RNAcentral. Lineage: Eukaryota; Fungi; Ascomycota; Eurotiomycetes; Onygenales; Ajellomycetaceae. RNAcentral also lists the same sequence under 1 other name.
CGAUGGGUGGAGUGUUCCACUCCUGCGGGAAAUUUGGUCAUCGCUUGAUGGGGAGUGGAGGAAAUCGCUUCGAUGGGUGGUUGCAGUGACGAAAUUCACACCUUAGCAACGUUAAUAAGUUCGCGGUGAGGAUGAUCAGAAUACAGUUCGACGUGUUGGAAUAUCUAUCAACUUGGAGUUUCAACCUCGAUCCAGGACUUUGAGUGGACUUCAAUCCGGAAAAGUGGACUUCAUUCACAGAAAUGCACUUGCGAUGUUGCUACCGUUGCCAAUCGCCACAUUUAUUUCUCUUGCCCGAGACGAGAGAGCUGCAUUGAAAAUUGCAUUAAGUGGAAAGAGUGAAUAAAACUGAACUGUUUGAAAAAUUAAUUUUAAUCUACCGAGAGAGAAAUGUGGCAGUUUCCCCAAUUCUUGCUGUAGAUACCAUGCACUUUGACUAUUGUAUCAACGAGAGAUAAACAGCAGGCGAAGUCCAAUUGAUGAAUCGAUACGAAGCUAAACAUUGCCUUCG